UGGAAUAUUUAAAUAAAUUAUAUGAUUUUUAUAUAAUUAAUAUAAUGUAACUAUUAUGUAAUGUUAAUCUCUAUAAAAAAAGGGUGUAGUAAUAAUUUCAUUAAUAUAGUUGGAUAAUUUUGGUGUUGAACCAAAUACAUAAAUAAAUUAUAUAAUUUUUUUUUUUUGAGAGAUAGGUCGCACGCUACCCGCUUCGUUUAUUUCAUUUAGAAAUAAACUUAGCUGGGAAUGUGAAUCAACUAGGAUUCGAACUUGGAAUCUCAGAUAUAUACUAAUCACCAAGCUCUUUGACACUUGCUCUAGAGACGGUCGGUAUUUUUAGGCUUUUAUGUUAAAUGCCAUUCCUGCCUUAUUUAUGAG
Molecule: long non-coding RNA, 360 nt
Filed under: Ananas comosus (pineapple)
Lineage: Eukaryota; Viridiplantae; Streptophyta; Magnoliopsida; Poales; Bromeliaceae
Description: long non-coding RNA (ACOM_LNC005992)
Source: RNAcentral